ACGCUCGACACCUACGGAGGCAGCAGUGGGGAAUAUUGCACAACGGGGGAAACCCUGAUGCAGCGACGCCGCGUGAGCGAAGAAGUAUUUCGGUAUGUAAAGCUCUAUCAGCAGGGAAGAAACUGACGGUACCUGACUAAGAAGCACCGGCUAAAUACGUGCUAGCAGCCGCGGUAAUCUGAGCGGGCUGGCAAGGC
RNAcentral lists this ribosomal RNA (197 nucleotides) under uncultured bacterium. Its description in RNAcentral is "partial 16S ribosomal RNA". It matches the Rfam family "Bacterial small subunit ribosomal RNA", at positions 328 to 539 of the family's 1533-position model. The record is from RNAcentral.